UAAGUUUUUUUUUUAAAUAUGAAUUAUCCAUAAAAUAUUGGAUGAUUGUUUUUCCUACAAUAACAAGUGAAAAUCACAUUUAAUUUUUGCAAAAAUGACAAACUGAUGCAUGUUACAGGAUGAUUUAACUCAUGAAUUAUCGUGGGAUAUAUUACGAAAUACAACAAAAGUAAAAAAUGAUCAGGUCACUCUGACUUCAUGUGAUUAGUUCACAUUUAGAUUAUGAUAUUCUGAAUGUACCGUAUUGACCCAAAUAUAGGACGACCCCCCCCCCCCCCAUUUCUAAAAAGCUGGCGCCCUCUGCUGUUGCAGUCGUAACGAUCCCAGGCAACUAUCAGCAUUUGUCAAUGGUUAGACCCCGAUUAUAAAACGACACCGUAUUCUUACAUUAUUUUCAACGAAGAAAACCUCGUCCUAUGUUCAAGUCAAUAUGGUGAAUCUGUUUUUCAUACUUUAUUUGGUAUGCAACAAAUUAGCUACCGUAAUUUCCGGACUAUAGAGCGCACCUCAAUAUAAGCUGCACCAACAAAAAAAAAAGGUUUUCUACACACGCCGCACUCAAAUACAAGUCGCGGCGCAGCAGCCACAUGCAGGUCUCCGGCAAACAGCGCAUGGACGGCCAUAACAUAAGAUAAUUCUUCCUCCGCAAACUAAGAAGAGCAAGAGCACCAGCCCCCAUCCUGUACACUUUCUACAGAGGCACCAUCGAGAGCAUCCUGUCGUGCGGCAUCACUGUGUGGUUCGGAGCCUGCAACGUUUCCUGCAUUAAAACCCUCCAACGUAUAGUGAGAGCAGCAGAGAAGAUCAUUGGGGUCUCUCUCCCCUCCCUACCAGACAUUUACAGCACCCGCCUCACAAAAAAGGCCCUUCACAUUGCGGCUGAUCCCACUCACCCGAUGCAAAGCCUCUUCGAGCUGCUGCCGUCAGGAAGGAGACUGCGGAGUCUCAAGGCCAGGACCAACAGACUGAAGGAUAGCUUUAUCCAUCAGGCAGUUAGGAAGCUAAACUCCCUCCCGGCUCUCCCAACUCUCCUCUCUUUUCCCCCACAGUCUCUCUGAACUUGGUUACUGUUUUUAUACUAAAUGUUUAUUUUCUAUCUAGCGAGAGUUUGAGAGUAACGUAAUUUCAUUUCUCUGUAUGUCCUGUACAUGUGGCAGAAGUGACAAUUAAACUGACUUUGACUUUGACUUAAACAGGAAGACGCUACACGGAGGUUUUUCGUUGUUGUUUUAAUUCAACAAAACAAAUUUUAAACACGGGUGAACGUGCCUGCAAGUUUAGAAAAGAAAACAGCUCUGAUAGCAUUCUUAUUUCUGGAUGGUUAUAAAAUAAAAACAGCACUGACACGUUAUUACCGGUAAUUUGCAUAUUUAGAAGAAAAGAACAGCGCUGACACAGCAUUAAUAAGCCCUGGAUGAUUAGAAAAUAAAAACUGCACACAAAACAUGCCUGGUUAGUAAAUAAAACACACUUGCCUACCAGAAAAAGUCAUUCGCUCUCAUCUUCCUCCUGCGCACUAAAGCCAUUAAAGUCCUCUUCUUCAGUGUCGGAGUUGAACAGCCUCAGAAGAGCUUCGUCACAUACCUUUUCUGUGGCGAUGUCAGCGUCGCUGUCCGUGUUGCUGUCAUCAUCCCCGGGUGAAGCUGGCUUGAAUGAGUUCUUCCUGCUGCCGUCUCCAGUGCCGAACCAUGGGUUCAUUCAUGCCAAGCUUACGUGCGGCAGCACUGUUUCCCUCCUUUACUGCCAGAUCGAUGGCCUUCAACUUAAAUGUGGCAUCAUAUGAACUCAUACGUGUAGUUUCCAUGAUGAGGGGGUAUGGAUUUGAAACAAAUUCUUCGUCGUGCCGGCUGCUUGCAUGUGCUAAAUUAAAAUGAGCACUUUCUUCCAUUUCCACUUUUGACUUCCACCUGUUUCACUUUCUGCUAAAGCGCCCCCUGCAGGUGAAGGAAAAUCUUCAGUAAAGCCGCACCUCAUUAUUAGCCGCAUGGUUCAAAGCGUGGGAAAAAAGUAGCGGCUUAUAGUCCGGAAAAUACGGCCUUGGCUUCAUCAGAAGCCAUCUGAAGGAGCAACCCGUGUUGCAGCCAGGUGACACGUCCUUUUCUUCAGAGGAGGAGGACUUCUUUUUCACCAUCAGGCAGGCCAACGAUCAGGAAAACGCCAAGCAGCUGGAGUCCUACCUGGCCUGUCCAUCAGAUUCUAUGGAUAUCUUGAAAUCUUUAUCACUGAAGCUGAACACACCUCUGCCUGCCUCAGCUGCUUUUCAGCACUGCAGGACUCAUUUUCAGACCCAAAAGGGCACGUGUUGAUGCAAAGAACCUGGAAAACCAGCUUCUGAUGAAGCUCAAUAAAAAGUUUAUUUAGUCUCAAACGGUCAAUUCCUCUCAAAAGGAAAUAAUACUUGAGGAUUUGAAGUGACCUUGAUUCCAUGAUCACAAUGUUUUAAGUCAAGUUGCCGAAAAAACUAUUUCGGUUAAAUGCUCCCAUAUGUGGUGACAGCAAUAACAUUAAUAGCAUCGUAUCUCCAGGAAUUAUUGUUGUUGUUGAAAUAAACUUCUCAUUCCAAA
Nothobranchius furzeri (turquoise killifish) is the source of this 2564-nucleotide non-coding RNA. NCBI's taxonomy places the organism in Eukaryota, Metazoa, Chordata, Actinopteri, Cyprinodontiformes, Nothobranchiidae. The record is from RefSeq and is a predicted model, not a curated record.